GCUGCUCCUAGUACGAGAGGACCGGAGUGGACGAACCUCUGGUGUUCCGGUUGUUACGCCAGUAGCAUUGCCGGGUAGCUAAGUUCGGACGGGAUAACCGCUGAAAGCAUCUAAGCGGGAAGCCUCCCUCAAGAUAAGUUCUCACAAAUCUUUAAGAUUUCUGAAGGGCCCUCGUAGACUACGAGGUUGAUAGGCGGGAUGUGGAAGCGCCGUGAGGCGUUAAGCUAACCCGUACUAAUUGCCCGUGCGACUUGACCAUAUAACC
This 265-nucleotide ribosomal RNA is filed under the name Gammaproteobacteria bacterium. Its description in RNAcentral is "partial 23S ribosomal RNA". It matches the Rfam family "Bacterial large subunit ribosomal RNA", at positions 2671 to 2925 of the family's 2925-position model. Lineage: Bacteria; Pseudomonadati; Pseudomonadota; Gammaproteobacteria. The record is from RNAcentral.